GGGUUGGUGUAGUGUAGUGGUUUGAAUGUUGGACUGCGACCUUGGAGACCCGGGUUCAAUUCCCAGCUAAGUCA
Phrynosoma platyrhinos (Desert horned lizard) is the source of this 74-nucleotide non-coding RNA. NCBI's taxonomy places the organism in Eukaryota, Metazoa, Chordata, Lepidosauria, Squamata, Phrynosomatidae. The record is from the annotation of a GenBank genome assembly.